Molecule: small nuclear RNA, 110 nt
Organism: Cydia amplana
Lineage: Eukaryota; Metazoa; Arthropoda; Insecta; Lepidoptera; Tortricidae
Source: RefSeq, a predicted model, not a curated record
GUACUUGCUUCGGCAGUGCAUAUACUAAAAUUGGAACGAUACAGAGGAGAGAUUAGCAUGGCUCUGCGCAAGAAUGACAUGCGAAUUCGUGUGAAGUAUUUCACUCUGUA